This 254-nucleotide ribosomal RNA is filed under the name uncultured bacterium. RNAcentral's name for it is "partial 16S ribosomal RNA". It matches the Rfam family "Bacterial small subunit ribosomal RNA", at positions 524 to 776 of the family's 1533-position model. The record is from RNAcentral.
GACGUGGGGCGCGAGCGUUGUCCGGAUUUAUUGGGCGUAAAGAGCUCGUAGGCGGCUUGUCGCGUCAACUGUGAAAACCCGUGGCUCAACCAUGUGGUCUGCAGUCGAUACGGGCAGGCUAGAAUUCGGUAGGGGAGACUGGAAUUCCUGGUGUAGCGGUGAAAUGCGCAGAUAUCAGGAGGAACACCGGUGGCGAAGGCGGGUCUCUGGGCCGAUAUUGACGCUGAGGAGCGAAAGCGUGGGGAGCGAACAGG